RNAcentral lists this microRNA precursor (62 nucleotides) under Aedes aegypti (yellow fever mosquito). RNAcentral describes it as "microRNA aae-mir-11901 precursor". Lineage: Eukaryota; Metazoa; Arthropoda; Insecta; Diptera; Culicidae. The record is from miRBase by way of RNAcentral.
AAACAUCACAGAAUUGUUUUUACUGAUAAGGAACUAUGUGUAAAAAUAAUUCUGUAAAGUUU